Molecule: unclassified non-coding RNA, 267 nt
Filed under: plant metagenome
Description: partial contains small subunit ribosomal RNA, internal transcribed spacer 1, and 5.8S ribosomal RNA
Source: RNAcentral
UUUCCGUAGGUGAACCUGCGGAAGGAUCAUUAUCGUACAAAAUGUGAAGGGCAUGCGAGGGCUGUCGCUGAUCCACAAGCCUUGCACGUCCGAGUGUGUCCUCUUGCAUAAUAAUCCAUCUCACCCUUUGUGCCUCACCGCGUGGGCACCCUUCGGGAUCAUCUCGGAGGGGGGCUCGCGUUUUCACACAAACCCCCCUUUUAAAAGUGUAGAAUGACCACAUUUAUGCAAUCAAUACAACUUUCAACAACGGAUCUCUUGGCUCUC